UACGUAGGAUGCGAGCGUUAUCCGGAUUUAUUGGGUUUAAAGGGUGCGUAGGCGGAUUUUUAAGUCAGCGGUAAAAUGUCCGGGCUCAACCCGGGCCGGCCGUUGAAACUGGGGAUCUUGAGUGGGCGAGAAGUAUGCGGUAUGCGUGGUGUAGCGGUGAAAUGCAUAGAUAUCACGCAGAACUCCGAUUGCGAAGGCAGCAUACCGGCGCCCGACUGACGCUGAGGCACGAAAGCGUGGGGAUCGAGCAGG
This 252-nucleotide ribosomal RNA is filed under the name uncultured bacterium. RNAcentral's name for it is "partial 16S ribosomal RNA". It matches the Rfam family "Bacterial small subunit ribosomal RNA", at positions 524 to 776 of the family's 1533-position model. The record is from RNAcentral.